Molecule: long non-coding RNA, 3556 nt
Organism: Paramormyrops kingsleyae
Lineage: Eukaryota; Metazoa; Chordata; Actinopteri; Osteoglossiformes; Mormyridae
Source: RefSeq, a predicted model, not a curated record
UCUAAGGCAUGAUAGGAGGGGCGCAGCUGGAGGCAAGCCAGCGUGGACAGUUUUAAGCAGAAUAACUCACGAACGACACUUUGACAAAUACGUGAGUAUGUUCAGCAUUUAUUUAAUUGAUCCACAGUAAAAUACAACUCGUGGUUAGGGUCAGUGAAUAAUGUUGGGCACACUACUAUUUGGAAUUGUAUCGAUCAUCCGUGAAGAGCUGCGAUUAGAUAUACCCUUGAGGGUGCUGGGGCCGAACGGAGCGUGUACUGAAAUCAAAAUAAAACAAGAAAAUUGUUCUGAUCAGCAUCAUUAAAGUUUAUCAGGUGUUAACCCAAAAUUGAAAAAAAUAUGGAAAGGAUCAGAAUUCAUUGAAAUGUUGUAGGCAAAGCAUAGCGUGCUGCUCCAGGGACGGCUACGUAACAUCACAUCUUCAGCGUGGAACAUUUGAUCCCUGUCUCUAGGUGUUUAAAUGUUCUCGCGGCAUUUGAGAAGAUUUCCUCCAGCAGGCCGAACAUGUGAAUGAGGUGAACUGGUGCUUCCAAAUUGAAGUGCAAAUUUCUAAAACUCACUGAAUUUGUUGUUUUUGAGAUGAAACUGCCAAUGGCCUAAAGUCAGGCUUCCUCAUCAUAUGUUACAGUAUGGAAAACCCAAACGUCCUCAUGUAAUCCAAUGAAGAAUAUUCAUUUCAUUUCUUCAACUUACUUGAAGUACAUGGAAAAUGUGUCCUGUGAACAGAGGUUUGGGAAUUUAUUUUUCAUUUGGUCAUUGUCAGUGUGUGUUCUUAGCCUAGGAUAGGCUGACAUUUUGUGCAGUGUGCUCCCUGUUUUGUUCCCUGCGCAUUCUGGGAUAGGCUUCAGGCGCACCAUGACCCUGUACUGCAUAAGCAGUAUGGAAAAAUGGAUGGAUGUAGACAAGGCGUAUCCCAUAAAAACACCCACACUCCCUCGGCUGUCUGGCCUCCUCCAAUGUCUCCAGCCUGACCGGCAUUUCUUCUACAUUCCUCUGCAUUCCAAACCAACAAAGCACAUUCCGGAGCAUUUCUGUGAGUUGUCCACUUCACCACGGCGACAAGGGUCACCGCCCAUGUCCCUGAGUCACUUGUCGUUAUUUUCAACACUCUGAAAACGAACGGGGAAACAACUGAUUUUUAUCACAUCCUUUUAUCGAAUCCACCUUUUUUAAUGAAGAGAAAAAAUUGCCGGUAGAUAAGAUUCCGUUUCUGUGAAAUCAGCUCACAAGGACAUCCAGAUGCCAUCGACAGGGAAUUGCACUGGCGAGAGUUCGGCAGGAUGUCGACGUCUUGUGCAAAUCAAUUGCUGCUGCUCUGAGUCCCUAGCGCUGCUGUGGCCUGCUUUAUCUGGAACCAAGAAUGGGACUGUUGCUCUUAUCGUAAGCCCCUUAACAGACCCUGUCUGAUUAAAUGAUGUGUUAAUUAAAGACCUCAUCUGGCACCUCUUGUCUCUGCAAUUCUACCUGCCAGUGAGGGAACAUGAGUGGAUCGAACCAUUCUAUUAAAUGGACUGAACCAUUCAUUUGGCAGACAAUGUAUGGAAAAUGUAUGGAUGACAACCGUCUUUGUGUGCUUCAUUCAGGAAUGAGUUCAUCCUUUCGUGGUUUACUUAUAGAGGUCUUUAUGGAGUAAAAGUGCUUUAGCAAGAGAUGGUGAUUGUGUUAAAUGUCUUCAUAUGGCAUGCAAGAGGUUUAUAGCACAGGGUAGGUAACACAUACACUGUAAUAUUAUUCAUUCCUCUAUUCCUUUGCAUUUUAUUCAUUUAGCAAGCACUUUAAUGCUAAGUGACAUAUGUUUUUGAGAAAGCAAGGUGAGACAGCCCCUGGAGCAAUUGACAGUUAAAGGCCUUGCUCAAGGGCCCAAUGGUGACAUCAUUCUCCCAACCAUGGGAUAUGAACCAGCAAGUUUCUGCUCAAAAGCACACCAUCCUACCUCAUUGAACCACACACCAUGCUUGGAAACUUUCUGACUGUUACUAACAAAGGCAUAGCCAUGGGGAAAUGAAGUCGAAGGCUCCGGAACCUGUUUUUUUAUUCCAGAAUUCUAGAAGGCAGAGCAACGUUAACUGCUUGUGUUGUUUGUGGCCUCUCUGGGCUCCGCGAGCCCCGUGGUUCCGCCAGUCUCCGUGGUUAACCGCACAGAGACCCACGGGUUUUAUCCUUGAGACACGUUCCUCUGACAUUUCCUGCCAGUGGAUCUUUGGUUCCGCCUAGGGGCACGAGGACCGACCUCAUCACAACGACACCAUUCAUUAGGUCUACCAUCCCCCCUUCAGCUCCUCUGAAUGCAAGCACCAAAGAACAGCAGAACAAAAACAUAGGUCACGGCCUCGGGACGUGGCCGACUGCUGCAACUCUUUGCCGUCUCCAUCCAAGCCUCUUUUAAGCGGUUUAUUUGCAUAUAUUGUUUCUUUGGGCCAAUCAGAGCCUGGUGUACACUUGCUGGUGGAACGAGGUCCAACCCUCUCAUGGGAUUGAGAAGUUCUAUGAAUGGCAGUUUCAGAAGUUUAUUUUCUUCCAGGGAACAAUUAAUUGAGCAAUUAGCUGGUGUGGUGCUUUGCCAAUACACUCGAGUGCAGUAUAUGUGAUGGCACUGUCUCUUGUCUUGUGUAAACUGUUCAAAUUGUAUCAGAGGUCAUGGGUCAAAAAAUGUCAAUAAAUGACAGUGGUGUCCAACCUUAUUUACAGUGACAGCUACUUCUGCAAAUAAUAUUGCGGGGAGUUACGUGUUUGAUAUAACAAGAUUUAAAUUGGGGUGGGGGGUGGUGUUGACACUAAAUCUUGUAAGAUGGUCACUUUGGGAGGUCUUUGAGCUUUGUUCUUGUCUUAUCCAUGAACACAGAAACAUCCUACAUGUAGCCCAGAAUGUGAGGGAAUGGCUUUGUGGAAAUUCUGUGGAUGUAUUGCUAAGAGAACAGGAUCGGCUACUUAUUGUUUUGAACUGGUUUGGAUCAGGGUUCCCGGAUAAUCUAUUACCAUUAAGUACAUUUGCAGUGUGAUCAUUGAUUGUCUGCAGUGGAAUAGCAAUCACUGCAAAACUGUAACAGCUGGAAACAUCUGCCAGCGCUACACCUGCGGUUAGAACAUAAUUCUGGAAUAAUUCUGUUUUUCAAAAGCAGGAUGGAACAUAGGCUUAAUAUUCCAUUUAUUGUGGACUACAAAAACAACCGCUACAAUGUUGUCAUUAAUCGUCCAUUUAAUGGUGCAAAAGGGUAGAUGAUGCUGAUGCCCCCUGACCAGCAUGCCAACAUGGGAGAGGAUCCCCACCCAGGGUGUCCCCUGCCUCGUGCCAUGUGACGGACUGGCAUCCCACCCAGGGAGUCCCCUGCCUCGUGCCAUGUGACGGACUGGCAUCCCACCCAGGGUGUCCCCUGCCUCGUGCCCUGUGACGGGCUGGCAUCCCACCCAGGGUGUCCCCUGCCAGGGUGUCAUGCCUUGUGCUGCCUGGGAUAAGCCUCAGACUCACCUCGACCCUGCAUCAGUUAAGCAUUACAGAACAUGGACAAAUGGAUGGAAAAUGUAGCCUGAAUAAAUAUUUUGUUCUUUAUAAUACAAA